RNAcentral lists this ribosomal RNA (427 nucleotides) under uncultured bacterium. RNAcentral describes it as "partial 16S ribosomal RNA". It matches the Rfam family "Bacterial small subunit ribosomal RNA", at positions 355 to 774 of the family's 1533-position model. The record is from RNAcentral.
UGGGGAAUAUUGGACAAUGGGCGAAAGCCUGAUCCAGCCAUGCCGCGUGUGUGAAGAAGGUCUUCAGAUUGUAAAGCACUUUAAGUUGGGAGGAAGGGCAUUAACCUAAUACGUUAGUGUUUUGACGUUACCGACAGAAUAAGCACCGGCUAACUCUGUGCCAGCAGCCGCGGUAAUACAGAGGGUGCAAGCGUUAAUCGGAAUUACUGGGCGUAAAGCGCGCGUAGGUGGUUUGUUAAGUUGGAUGUGAAAUCCCCGGGCUCAACCUGGGAACUGCAUUCAAAACUGACUGACUAGAGUAUGGUAGAGGGUGGUGGAAUUUCCUGUGUAGCGGUGAAAUGCGUAGAUAUAGGAAGGAACACCAGUGGCGAAGGCGACCACCUGGACUAAUACUGACACUGAGGUGCGAAAGCGUGGGGAGCAAACA